AUCCUGGUCAGGAUUGAAACGCUUGGGCGGGCAUGCUUAACACAUGCAAGUUCGAACGGGAAGUGGUUUGUUUCCAGUGGCGAAAGGGUGAGUAAUAACGGUAAGAACCUGCACUGGGAGGGGAAAAACAACUGGAACGGUUGAUAAUACCCGUAGCUGAGGAGCAAAAGGAGACAUCCGCCCAGGGAGGGGCUUCGCGUCUGAUUAGCUAUUGGUGAGGCAAAAGCUUACCAAGCGAUGAUCGUAGGCUGGUCGAGAGGCUGAUUCAGCCCACAAUGGGGACGAGACAAGGCCCAGACUCCUACGGAUGGCAGCAGUGGGGAAUUUUCCAAUGGCGAAAGCCUGUGCGGAGCAAGCGCGUGGAGGUGGAAAGGCCUACGGGUGUUCAACUUCUUUUCUCGGAGAGAGAAACAAUGACGGUAUCUGAGGAAUAAGCAUCGGCUAACCUGUGCCAGCAAGCCGCGGUAAGAAAGAGGAGGCAAGGUUAUAUCGGAAGAUUGGGCGUGUUAAAGGCGUCUGUUAGGUGGCUUUCAGUCCGCCGUCCAAAUCCCAGGGCUAACCCGGACAGGCGGUGGAAACUACCAAGCUGCGGAGUACGGUAGGGGCAGAGGGAAUUUCCGGUGGACGGUGAAAUGCAUUGAGCGGAAAAGAACACCAACGGCGCGAAAGCACUCUGCGAGGCCGACACUGACACUGAGAGACGAAAAGCUAGGGGAGCAAAUGGGAGUUAGAGACCCCAAGUAGUCCUAGCCGUAAACGAUGGAUGACUAGGUGCUGUGCGAUCGACCGUGCAGUGCUGUAGCUAAACGCGUUAAGUAUCCGCCUGGGAAGUACGUUCGAAAAGAAUGAAACCAAAGGAAUUGAAGGGGCCCGCAACAAGCGGUGGAGCAUGUGGUUUCAUUCGAUGCAAAGCGAAGAACAUUAACAGGGCUGGACAUGCCGGAAUCCUUUGAAGGAGGGGUGCCCUCGGGAACGCGGACCACAGGUGGGCAUGGCUGUAGUCAGCUCGUGCCGUAAGGUGUUGGGUGAAGUCUCGCAACGAGCGCAACCCUCGUGUAGUUGCCAUAUGAGGUGGAACCUUGAACAGAACGCGGUGUUAAGCCGGAGGAAGGAGCGGAUGAGGCCAAGUAUCAUGCCCGUAUGCCCUGGGCGACACACGUGCUACAAUGGGCGGGACAAAGGGUCGCGAUCUCGCGAGGGGAGCUAACUCAAAAACCAGUCGCUAAGUUCGGAUUGCAGGCUGCAACUCGCCUGCAUGAAGCAGGGAAUCGCUAGUAAUCGAAGGUCAGCCAUACGGACGGUGACUCCGUUCACGAGGCCUUGUACACACGCCGUACACUUAGGAGUGCAGGUUUGAAGUCAUUACCUUAACCGUAGGGAGGGGGAUGCCUAAGACGUAGGCUGCGACUGGCGUGAAGUCGUAACAAGGUUAGCCGUAUGGAAGGCCGGCUG
This 1452-nucleotide ribosomal RNA is filed under the name Saccharum spontaneum (wild sugarcane). RNAcentral describes it as "bacterial SSU rRNA". It matches the Rfam family "Bacterial small subunit ribosomal RNA". Lineage: Eukaryota; Viridiplantae; Streptophyta; Magnoliopsida; Poales; Poaceae. The record is from RNAcentral.